This 1273-nucleotide long non-coding RNA is filed under the name Mus musculus (house mouse). Its description in RNAcentral is "long non-coding RNA chr19:46314100-46315373". The record is from RNAcentral. Lineage: Eukaryota; Metazoa; Chordata; Mammalia; Rodentia; Muridae.
AUGGAGCGGGGUCUUACAAGGAGAGAGGAAUCCAGGGAGCAGGGUCUGGAAUGGGUAAGAAGGAAAAGCACUCACGGAGCCUGGAAGAGGAAGACCCGCCAGUCAGCUGUGCGCAGGUAGAAGACGUGUGGUCUCUUGCUAUAAUCGCUGGCGCGGGUAGCCAGGGCGUGGUGGAUGCUGAUAGCAUUCUUCAGCUCUGCCUCGGAAAGAGCCUUCCCAGGCUGAUACUCCUCCUAUGGGGGUGCCCAUCUCGUCCUGCUCCAGUCCUGGCCUGGCCAUCUCCAGCUACCUAAUCCCCUCUGGCAAGCCAGCCCACUCCUGGCCCCGCCCACUCCUGGCCCCGCCCACUCCUGGCCCCGCACCUUCUGCAGGUAGAGGAUCAUGCCCUUGAGGAUCCCGUGGAAGCUCUUCCAGCCCCGCUUGCCACGAGGUGCUAGGGAGGGAAGGCAGGUCAGGGUGGCCUGAGGAAGGCCCGCUCCCAUCCAUCCCCCAGUCCCCGCACAGCCACAUACUCUUCCUGCAGUCAGGGUCUGCGUGCACCUUUCGCACCAGGGCCCCGUGCUUGUAGACAGCUGCCCCGGGCUCAGGAGUCAGGUCCAGGAAGGGGCUGGAACUGCUGCCACUGCCUCCGCUGACCCGCUUGAUGACCUUGGGGUUAGGAUCGGCCAACUCGGACAGAGACCGUCGCAGCUCCUCCUCGUCUCUGCAGAUGUGACUGUUUCAGAGAGUGCUGGCCACACUGCCACACAACCCUAGAAUGCCUCUUUAGUGACUAGGAGCUGCCAGGAACUCCCUUCACCUGGAGGCUCUGCUAUCUCCGAGUAGGGCUCCACAGGCUCCAGGUCUGUGUCCUCCCUGGCAUGAGAGCUACCUGGGGCUCCCCUCCCCGCACCGCGUGGAUGCCUGCUGUGUCUCUGUUUCUGCACACACCCAGCCCUCACACUUUUCUCCUGGACAGACACGUGUGACUCAGCUCUCUCCUAACCACACCUAACACCCGGCUCGGCUCCGCUCUGCUCGCAGUUGGUUAUGUGGAGCCAGAAGGAAGUAGUGAACAGGCUCGUGCCUAUAACCCCACCACUGGAGAUGUGACAGCAGGGCAGUCACAUCCAAGCCAACCUGUCUUGAGACCCUGUCUCAGAAAUCUAAAAGCUAAAGGUGACAUCUUAGAAUGCCUCCCCCUGAUGUGUUCCUUUGUAAAUCCUGUGAAGAUAGAAAACUCAAGACUCUCUCAUUGCCUUGCUCAACAAUUUCCAAUAAACCAUUGCCUCCU